UACAGAGGGUGCAAGCGUUGUUCGGAAUUAUUGGGCGUAAAGGGCGCGUAGGCGGUGCGGUAAGUCUGUAGUGAAAUCUCUGGGCUCAACUCAGAGUCUGCUAUAGAAACUGCCGUGCUGGAGUGUGGGAGAGGUGAGUGGAAUUCCCGGUGUAGCGGUGAAAUGCGCAGAUAUCGGGAAGAACACCCGUGGCGAAGGCGGCUCUCUGGGACGGUACUGACGCUGAGACGCGAAAGCGUGGGGAGCGAACAGG
This 253-nucleotide ribosomal RNA is filed under the name uncultured bacterium. RNAcentral's name for it is "partial 16S ribosomal RNA". It matches the Rfam family "Bacterial small subunit ribosomal RNA", at positions 524 to 776 of the family's 1533-position model. The record is from RNAcentral.